UUGUGGUAUUCGAUGUCGAGUCGUCGGUGAAGCUCCGCUCUGAUUGUGACACGGGAAGGGGGUUUUAUAUGUAUAUAGAGUCUCCUUAUCUAGGUUGUUUUGUAUAGCUAAUAAAUACAUUAGUUGAUUCAACAUUUGUAUAAACAAGUAUUUUUACUAAUCAACUACAUUAGUAUUAUUUUGAUUGAAGAAUGUAAUACUCGAACCACAACUUUUAUAAUAACAAACUUUGAUUUUCCGCCGCGUAUUUUGAAAAAGAUUUGUAAUGGUAGAAUUUUAUUAAAUAAUGGGUUUGGGUGUUACA
Molecule: long non-coding RNA, 304 nt
Filed under: Trifolium pratense (red clover)
Lineage: Eukaryota; Viridiplantae; Streptophyta; Magnoliopsida; Fabales; Fabaceae
Description: long non-coding RNA (TPRA_LNC001009)
Source: RNAcentral